Molecule: ribosomal RNA, 458 nt
Filed under: uncultured bacterium
Lineage: Bacteria
Description: bacterial SSU rRNA
Rfam family: Bacterial small subunit ribosomal RNA
Source: RNAcentral
AUUGAACGCUGGCGGCAUGCCUAACACAUGCAAGUCGAACGAGACCUUCGGGUCUAGUGGCGCACGGGUGCGUAACGCGUGGGAACCUGCCUUUAGGUUCGGAAUAACUCAGAGAAAUUUGAGCUAAUACCGGAUAAUGUCUUCGGACCAAAGAUUUAUCGCCUUUAGAUGGGCCCGCGUUGGAUUAGCUAGUUGGUGGGGUAAAGGCCUACCAAGGCGACGAUCCAUAGCUGGUCUGAGAGGAUGAUCAGCCACACUGGGACUGAGACACGGCCCAGACUCCUACGGAGGCAGCAGUGGGAAUAUUGGACAAUGGGCGAAAGCCUGAUCCAGCAAUGCCGCGUGAGUGAUGAAGGCCUUAGGGUUGUAAAGCUNUUUUACCCGAGAUGAUAAUGACAGUAUCGGGAGAAUAAGCUCCGGCUAACUCCGUGCCAGCAGCCGCGGUAAAGUGACUACUG